GCAGGGCACUCGAAGUUAGGGCAUGGUUUUGCUGCCGAAUAUACUUUAACCAGCACUCUGAUGCGACUCACAUACAGACACACACAGCGCAAAAUGAUUUUGUAUAGAUAGGAACGGGCUUGACAAAGGAGGAUGUCUCCACGAUGCACGGGCGCAGAAGGGUAAAUCACCUGUUAGGAACCUUCAUGUAAAUUCACAUCCCACUCUCAGAAACAGGGUUUCCUUUUGAACAGUGGAGGGAUUUUAAACAGAUUUGUACAUUUACACAGGAAAGAAAAUCUUGGUCCAAUUGCUGUGAACUUUAUAUUAAGCACAUUCAUACUCCCUGUCCAGGGUGUACCCCUGCUUUUCACCCGAAGAGAGCUGGGGUAGCUUCCAGCAGAUCCCUGUGACCCUGGUUAAGGAAUAAGUGGGUAUAGAUAAUGGAUGGAUGGACGGACUUUCCUACUCAGUACAGUGACAGAACAGGAGCCUGAGUGGGGUUUGGAGUAUGAUCAACAUGUUAUUUACUCUUUUAUAAGAGUUAAAAGAAAGAUAGAAAGAAAUAUGAAAGACAAGAAAAUAAGGACAGUGCUUCUUUCCCCUUUUCAGUGAUUGUCUUAUAACAAGCAAAUUCAUGUCUAAAGUCAACUCAGUCUAACCUAUGAGAAGUUUAAACUUCUCAUUUGCUACUUUUAGCUGGAUUAGCUUUAAAUAUGAGUUAAUGCUCCAAUUGAACAUGAUAAAACAUAGUGACAUUUCAGUCAUGCCCCUCAUGACUUAAUAGUAAUCAAAUAAACUUAACCUACAAUUAACAAACAGGGAGUAAA
Molecule: long non-coding RNA, 809 nt
Filed under: Mastacembelus armatus (zig-zag eel)
Lineage: Eukaryota; Metazoa; Chordata; Actinopteri; Synbranchiformes; Mastacembelidae
Description: lncRNA (ENSMAMG00000027444.1)
Source: RNAcentral